GAUGAACGCUGGCGGCGUGCUUAACACAUGCAAGUCGAACGAAGCACUUACUUGGAAGUUUUCGGAUGGAAAAGUAAGUGACUGAGUGGCGGACGGGUGAGUAACGCGUGGGCAACCUGCCCCAUACUGGGGGAUAACAGCUGGAAACGGCUGCUAAUACCGCAUAAGCGCACGGUCUCGCAUGAGACAGUGUGAAAAACUACCGGUGGUAUGGGAUGGGCCCGGCGUCUGAUUAGCUAGUUGGUGAGGGAGAGGCUCACCAAGGCGACGAUCAGUAGCCGACCUGAGAGGGUGACCGGCCACAUUGGGACUGAGACACGGCCCAA
RNAcentral lists this ribosomal RNA (326 nucleotides) under uncultured bacterium. Its description in RNAcentral is "bacterial SSU rRNA". It matches the Rfam family "Bacterial small subunit ribosomal RNA", at positions 28 to 334 of the family's 1533-position model. The record is from RNAcentral.